AAUGAACGCUGGCGGCAUGCCUAACACAUGCAAGUCGAACGAAGGCUUCGGCCUUAGUGGCGCACGGGUGCGUAACGCGUGGGAAUCUGCCUCAGGUUCGGAAUAACAGCGAGAAAUUGCUGCUAAUACCGGAUGAUAUCGCGAGAUCAAAGAUUUAUCGCCUGAGGAUGAGCCCGCGUAGGAUUAGCUAGUUGGUGUGGUAAAGGCGCACAAAGGCGACGAUCCUUAGCUGGUCUGAGAGGAUGAUCAGCCACACUGGGACUGAGACACGGCACAGACUCCUACGGGAGGCAGCAGUGGGGAAUAUUGGACAAUGGGCGAAAGCCUGAUCCAGCAAUGCCGCGUGAGUGAUGAAGGCCUUAGGGUUGUAAAGCUCUUUUACCCGGGAUGAUAAUGACAGUACCGGGAGAAUAAGCUCCGGCUAACUCCGUGCCAGCCGCCGCGGUAA
RNAcentral lists this ribosomal RNA (448 nucleotides) under uncultured bacterium. RNAcentral describes it as "partial 16S ribosomal RNA". It matches the Rfam family "Bacterial small subunit ribosomal RNA", at positions 29 to 523 of the family's 1533-position model. The record is from RNAcentral.